Molecule: non-coding RNA, 2787 nt
Organism: Schizosaccharomyces pombe (fission yeast)
Lineage: Eukaryota; Fungi; Ascomycota; Schizosaccharomycetes; Schizosaccharomycetales; Schizosaccharomycetaceae
Source: the annotation of a GenBank genome assembly
UUCAAUCGCUUAAAACAUGAAUUAACAAGACAUGCAAAACAGAAAUGAGACAGUGAUAAAUCGGAUAUGGUAAAUGACAAGUCCUAUUAUGCUUUUUUAAUUAUAGGACUACUGCCAGCUAAGGUAUAAUCCGAUAAAAAUAUGUUAAACUGCGAUACUGGAAAAGCAAGUACUUCUGCAGUUUGUUAUAUAACUUCAACGAUCGCUUGCGAUAAGCUCCGCGCAUUUCCUAACCCUCCCUGUUCAAUAUUACGACGCUACUAACUGAAGCCAAGAAUCUUAGCUUACGAAGAUUUUAGAAUCUGAAUUGAAAUGAAUAGUCAAAAAAGACGGACGGAGACAUCAAUUCGUUCUUCACCAUAAAAAUAUUUGUGUAAUAAAAACUAAAGGUGGUGGAUCGAACUCUACAGGAAUAGUUAUCUAUUUAAUUUGGUGUUUACUCUUCAUUUAAUAACUUCACAUUAUUGAAACUCCCAUUUAAAUAUUAUAGACAAACAAGUAAACAAAAAAAGCCUAACCGAUUUGUAUCCAAAAUGCAGCUAGCCAAAACGUUGACAAUUUCACAUAAUUUUCAAAUCUUUUUUGUGUUUAUUUUUUCGAAACCUGAGAAAUAUUGUCUAUAUUAAUAGGGGUAUGUUUAAAUGCGCGUUUGCCAGGUCCAACUCCAUAACUACUUGCAACUUGACCAUUUCCUCUAAGUUGGUACUUGUAAAUAGUUAACCCAUCAAGACCCAUUGGUCCUCGAGCAUGAAUUUUGUUGGUGCUGAUGCCAACUUCGGUACCGUAACCAUAACGAAAACCAUCGGCAAAUCUGGUUGAAGCAUUCCAAUACACACCAGAAGCAUCAAUUCCAGCCAUGAAUCUGUUAGCAGCUGCUUCACUAGAAGUGAUAAUGCAAUCCGUGUGUUUAGAACCAUGUGUAUUUAUAUGCUGCAUUGCGGACUGUAAGGAAGGUACAGUCUUAAUAGCAAGAAUCAAAUCAGAGAAUUCAGUGUUGUAAUCUUGAUCGACAGAUGGUUCAACUAGAGCACUAACUUUUGGCAUAUCCUUUAAAACCUUAAGAGAAGCGGGAUCACAUUUUAAUGUAACUUUUGCUUCAGUUAAAGUUUCAGCAAUUUUAGGAAGAUGAGAAGAUAAAACAGCUUCGUUAAUUAACAAAGUUUCAAUUGCAUUACAUGCUGCUGGAUAAUCAGUUUUUCCAUCCAGAACAAGUUUACUAGCCAAUUCCAUAUCAGCAUCCUCAUGGACGUACAUGGAGCAUAGUCCUGCAGCAUGACCUAAAACAGGAAUUUUUGUGUUAUCUUUUAUAUGGCGUACAAGAUUAGUGCUGCCGCGGGGAAUAACCAAAUCUAUGUACUCAUCCAAUUUUAAUAAUUGUGAUACCUCCUCGCGACUCUGAACAAGCUGCACAGCAGCCUGUGGAACCUUACUUUUGCCCAAGGCAGAGCGAACAACAUUAGAAAGUGCAGCGAAAGACUUUGCUGAUUCCGUGCCUCCUUUAAGUACAACAGCAUUACCAGAUUUGAUAGCCAGGGAAGUAAUAUUAAUGAUUACUUCAGGUCUAGCUUCAAAAAUGACUAGCAAUAAACCUACAGGGCAAGAGACUUUAUAAAGGUCCAAACCAUCGUCAAGACUACGAGCAUAAGUAACACGACCAAGGGGAUCAGGCAAACUUUUAACAUCUAAAACACCCUGUACCAUGGAAUCGUAUUUAUCAGAUGAAGACAGAUCCAAUCUUUUAACCAUCGAUGAACUUAGUUUUCCUGAUUCAGCCAAGAGCUUAGCUGCUUUCAUAUCUUCAGCAUUUGCAGCUAGAACCUCUGACUUUUUUAUGCGCAGUUCUUCAACUAUUUUAUCCAAUGCAUCAUCACGGUCUUCCACUGAUAAUGUCUGUAAAAUGUUAAAAGCGUUUUUCGCUUCCUUUACAUUCUCUUCAAGAGACAUGCUAAACAAUACUUAUACAACUUUGAGUAGAGGCAAUUGGGAGAUUUAAAUCAAGCGAAUUCUUAUUCUUAGAAUGGCUAGCUCAAAAAGACUACUUUUUGUAGUAUUUUGGUUGUUUUUUCUAAUGUAUGAAUAAUGCAAGUUCGUGAUUUAUUUAACACCCUUCAAGUAACAAAAUCAAGCAUUGUUACUUUACAUUAAGCAUAACUAAGAUUUCUGAAAGAUACGAAAUCAUGGAAAGUGAGAGUACUUCUGCAGUUAACUAAAAAUAUUUUGCAACCUCAAGAACAGUUAGUGUUAUAUUUUCAGUUUUUGUUUUUCCGUUACUAUAUAUAGUAGCCUUACUUUUCACUUUUCACGUAGUGCAAGAAUUAUGCUUGUAAACAAAAGACUAAAAAAUGAGCAACUGGGUAUCUUCGGUUAAGAAAUACAAAGAUACUAAUUUUAAAGUGUGCUUUGUAUAUUCCAUAGAGAAUUUGGAUUAUUACACACUUCGUAUUUCUCAUGAAUAAAUUAUAGUCAUAUCGUAAAAGCAAAAACAUUUAUUAGCAUGGUGUCCAGUUAUUACUGAAUCAAUUUGAUCUAGUUGUUUUUAAUUCAAAUUAAAGAUGCUUCUAGUUGAAAUGCACAGCUCAACAAACAAAAUUGUUUGUUCAUCUUUUCGGGAAAACAUCCUUCAAUAUAGAGUAUCGCUAACGGUUGUAAUUGAAUUGUUUACAAUGGCUGAUCAAACUGUUCAUUAAUAUAGUACUUUUUUUUUAAUUUGAACGCAAUUACUUUGAAUUUAAUUCCAUAUUUGCAAAGUUCAUCUUGCCUUACAGUUUCACAAUUGUCCCCCAAGUC